GACAAACCGGAGUGGCCCGUCUCCUUCUCGGGUGAUGAGUGCCGCUUUGAGUUAGUCAUCCUUCCAGAGAGCGCGUCUACCGUUUACUCGGCCGGACGUUGCGAUCUGGAUCUAUUACUUUGAAAAAAUUAGAGUGUUUAAAGCAGGCAUUGCUCUGAAUACAUUAGCAUGGAAUAAUAAUUUAGGACUUCGGUUCUAUUUUGUUGGUUUCUAGGACUGAAGUA
Molecule: ribosomal RNA, 224 nt
Filed under: uncultured fungus
Lineage: Eukaryota; Fungi
Description: partial small subunit ribosomal RNA
Rfam family: Eukaryotic small subunit ribosomal RNA (bases 99-224)
Source: RNAcentral